This 776-nucleotide ribosomal RNA is filed under the name uncultured Neocallimastigales. RNAcentral's name for it is "partial large subunit ribosomal RNA". It matches the Rfam family "Eukaryotic large subunit ribosomal RNA", at positions 20 to 635 of the family's 3401-position model. Lineage: Eukaryota; Fungi; Neocallimastigomycota; Neocallimastigomycetes; Neocallimastigales. The record is from RNAcentral.
UACUAGAGUAGCACUCGCAUAUCAAUAAGCGGAGGAAAAGAAACUAACAAGGAUUCCCCUAGUAACGGCGAGUGAAGCGGGAAGAGCUCAAAUUUGAAAUCUUAAAGGGUUUCCCUUUACGAAUUGUAGUUUAAAGAAGUGUUUUCUGUUGGAGUUUCGGUAAAAGUUCUUUGGAAUAGGACAUCAUAGAGGGUGAGAAUCCCGUAUUUGACCGUUACUUUCCAGCUGUGUGAUACACUUUCAAAGAGUCGGAUUGUUUGGGAAUGCAGUCCAAAAUGGGUGGUAAAUUUCAUCUAAAGCUAAAUAUUGGCGAGAGACCGAUAGCGAACAAGUACCGUGAGGGAAAGAUGAAAAGAACUUUGAAAAGAGAGUUAAACAGUACGUGAAAUUGUCAAAAGGGAAGCGUUUGACACCAGUGUUGUUUUCUCGAAAACCAAUUAAAAAAGGCUGGAUUUUGUGUUGUAUUGACCUUAAAAGCUUUCUUCACUCUUUUCUUGUCUUUUUUAAUGCACUUUUCGUUUAACAAGUCAACAUCAGUUUCUUUUGUUGUAAAAGGGUAUGAGGAAGGUGGCUUUCUUUUCGGAGAAAGUGUUUAUAGCCUUGUGCCUCUGCAAUCGGAGAGAUUGAGGUCUGCAGCGUAGAUCCUUCGGGGUUAGAUACGUUUGUGCUAAGUUAUAGCUUUUUCAUAGACAACUUGUUGACUAUGUUUAGUCUUGUAGCUUACUCGCUUAUGCUAUUUUACCUACGCUUAGGAUGUUGAAGAUGUAGCACAUCAU